UACAGAGGUGGCAAGCGUUGUUCGGAAUUACUGGGCGUAAAGCGUGCGCAGGCGGUUUUGUAAGACAGGCGUGAAAUCCCCGGGCUUAACCUGGGAACUGCGUUUGUGACUGCAAGGCUAGAGUACGGCAGAGGGGGGUGGAAUUCCACGUGUAGCAGUGAAAUGCGUAGAGAUGUGGAGGAACACCAAUGGCGAAGGCAGCCCCCUGGGUCGAUACUGACGCUCAUGCACGAAAGCGUGGGUAGCAAACAGG
This 253-nucleotide ribosomal RNA is filed under the name uncultured bacterium. Its description in RNAcentral is "partial 16S ribosomal RNA". It matches the Rfam family "Bacterial small subunit ribosomal RNA", at positions 524 to 776 of the family's 1533-position model. The record is from RNAcentral.